This 402-nucleotide ribosomal RNA is filed under the name Verrucomicrobiota bacterium. Its description in RNAcentral is "Verrucomicrobia bacterium partial 16S ribosomal RNA". It matches the Rfam family "Bacterial small subunit ribosomal RNA", at positions 355 to 776 of the family's 1533-position model. Lineage: Bacteria; Pseudomonadati; Verrucomicrobiota. The record is from RNAcentral.
UGGGGAAUAUUGCACAAUGGGCGCAAGCCUGAUGCAGCAACGCCGCGUGAACGAUGAAGGUCUUCGGAUCGUAAAGUUCUGUUGCAGGGGAAGAUAAUGACGGUACCCUGUGAGGAAGCCCCGGCUAACUACGUGCCAGCAGCCGCGGUAAUACGUAGGGGGCUAGCGUUGUCCGGAAUCACUGGGCGUAAAGGGUUCGCAGGCGGAAUGCAAGUCAGGUGUAAAAGGCAGUAGCUUAACUACUGUAAGCAUUUGAAACUGCAUAUCUUGAGAAGAGUAGAGGUAAGUGGAAUUUUUAGUGUAGCGGUGAAAUGCGUAGAUAUUAAAAAGAAUACCGGUGGCGAAGGCGACUUACUGGGCUCAUUCUGACGCUGAGGAACGAAAGCGUGGGUAGCAAACAGG